Saccoglossus kowalevskii is the source of this 443-nucleotide long non-coding RNA. The record is from RefSeq and is a predicted model, not a curated record. NCBI's taxonomy places the organism in Eukaryota, Metazoa, Hemichordata, Enteropneusta, Harrimaniidae.
GUUGAAGUCGUUAACAGAGAUUUUAGAGAAGCGGGAAAGUGCGCCUUUGCAAAACGAGAUAUAAAAGCAAAUGAGAUAAUUGGGGUGUACGACGGAGAAAUAAUUGACAGAGCAGAGGCUGAACAACUAGAACGACAGUAUGCGGUAACAGGUGAACGUUGUGGCAUGUAUCACCUGGAAUAUUCCGGCAUGGUAAUAAAUCCACACAGUGAAAAGAAGAUGUGGGAAACAAGUGGAAUUACCUUUUUCCUGAACCAUUCCAAAAAGCAUUCCAACAUUGUCACAAAACAACUGAAGAUUAAUGACAGGCCGUGUGUGGUUAUGAUUUCCAAAUAUUACAUACCAGAAGGGGCAGAAUUGUUAUAUAAUUAUGGUGAUGAGAAAGCACCAUUUUUUGCAAAUUCACAAACUUUUCCAAAUUAAAGUAAUUUAUGAUCUAUGUU